Long non-coding RNA from Ictalurus furcatus (blue catfish), 3639 nucleotides. RefSeq lists it as uncharacterized. Lineage: Eukaryota; Metazoa; Chordata; Actinopteri; Siluriformes; Ictaluridae. The transcript is spliced from 6 exons. The record is from RefSeq and is a predicted model, not a curated record.
AGUUAGGGUGUUGGGAUGUUAGUGGUGGUGAGUUAGGGUGUUAGGAUGUUAGUGGAGGUGAGUUAGGGUGUUAGGAUGUUAGUGGUGGUGAGUUAGGGUGUUAGGAUGUUAGAGGAGGUGAGUUAGGGUGUUAGGAUGUUAGUGGUGGUGAGUUAGGGUGUUAGGAUGUUAGUGGAGGUGAGUUAGGGUGUUAGGAUGUUAGAGGAGGUGAGUUAGGGUGUUAGGAUGUUAGAGGAGGUGAGUUAGGGUGUUAGGAUGUUAGAGGUGGUGAGUUAGGGUGUUAGGAUGUUAGAGGAGGUGAGUUAGGGUGUUAGGAUGUUAGUGGAGGUGAGUUAGGGUGUUAGGAUGUUAGAGGUGGUGAGUUAGGGUGUUAGGAUGUUAGAGGAGGUGAGUUAGGGUGUUAGGAUGUUAGAGGAGGUGAGUUAGGGUGUUAGGAUGUUAGAGGAGGUGAGUUAGGGUGUUAGGAUGUUAGAGGUGGUGAGUUAGGGUGUUAGGAUGUUAGAGGAGGUGAGUUAGGGUGUUAGGAUGUUAGUGGAGGUGAGUUAGGGUGUUAGGAUGUUAGAGGAGGUGAGUUAGGGUGUUAGGAUGUUAGAGGAGGUGAGUUAGGGUGUUAGGAUGUUAGAGGUGGUGAGUUAGGGUGUUAGGAUGUUAGAGGAGGUGAGUUAGGGUGUUAGGAUGUUAGAGGAGGUGAGUUAGGGUGUUAGGAUGUUAGUGGAGGUGAGUUAGGGUGUUAGGAUGCUAGAGGAGGUGAGUUAGGGUGUUAGGAUGUUAGAGGUGGUGAGUUAGGGUGUUAGGAUGUUAGAGGAGGUGAGUUAGGGUGUUAGGAUGCUAGAGGAGGUGAGUUAGGGUGUUAGGAUGUUAGAGGAGGUGAGUUAGGGUGUUAGGAUGUUAGUGGAGGUGAGUUAGGGUGUUAGGAUGCUAGAGGAGGUGAGUUAGGGUGUUAGGAUGUUAGAGGUGGUGAGUUAGGGUGUUAGGAUGUUAGAGGAGGUGAGUUAGGGUGUUAGGAUGUUAGAGGAGGUGAGUUAGGGUGUUAGGAUGCUAGUGGAGGUGAGUUAGGGUGUUGGGAUGUUAGUGGAGGUGAGUUAGGGUGUUAGGAUGUUAGAGGAGGUGAGUUAGGGUGUUAGGAUGUUAGUGGUGGUGAGUUAGGGUGUUAGGAUGUUAGUGGAGGUGAGUUAGGGUGUUAGGAUGCUAGAGGAGGUGAGUUAGGGUGUUAGGAUGUUAGAGGAGGUGAGUUAGGGUGUUAGGAUGUUAGUGGAGGUGAGUUAGGGUGUUAGGAUGUUAGAGGAGGUGAGUUAGGGUGUUAGGAUGUUAGUGGUGGUGAGUUAGGGUGUUAGGAUGUUAGUGGAGGUGAGUUAGGGUGUUAGGAUGCUAGAGGAGGUGAGUUAGGGUGUUAGGAUGUUAGAGGUGGUGAGUUAGGGUGUUAGGAUGUUAGAGGUGGUGAGUUAGGGUGUUAGGAUGUUAGAGGAGGUGAGUUAGGGUGUUAGGAUGUUAGAGGAGGUGAGUUAGGGUGUUAGGAUGUUAGAGGAGGUGAGUUAGGGUGUUAGGAUGUUAGAGGAGGUGAGUUAGGGUGUUAGGAUGCUAGAGGAGGUGAGUUAGGGUGUUGGGAUGUUAGUGGAGGUGAGUUAGGGUGUUAGGAUGUUAGAGGAGGUGAGUUAGGGUGUUAGGAUGUUAGUGGAGGUGAGUUAGGGUGUUAGGAUGCUAGAGGAGGUGAGUUAGGGUGUUAGGAUGUUAGAGGUGGUGAGUUAGGGUGUUAGGAUGUUAGAGGUGGUGAGUUAGGGUGUUAGGAUGUUAGAGGAGGUGAGUUAGGGUGUUAGGAUGUUAGAGGAGGUGAGUUAGGGUGUUAGGAUGCUAGUGGAGGUGAGUUAGGGUGUUGGGAUGUUAGUGGAGGUGAGUUAGGGUGUUAGGAUGUUAGAGGAGGUGAGUUAGGGUGUUAGGAUGUUAGUGGUGGUGAGUUAGGGUGUUAGGAUGUUAGAGGAGGUGAGUUAGGGUGUUAGGAUGUUAGUGGUGGUGAGUUAGGGUGUUAGGAUGUUAGUGGAGGUGAGUUAGGGUGUUAGGAUGCUAGAGGAGGUGAGUUAGGGUGUUAGGAUGUUAGAGGUGGUGAGUUAGGGUGUUAGGAUGUUAGAGGUGGUGAGUUAGGGUGUUAGGAUGUUAGAGGAGGUGAGUUAGGGUGUUAGGAUGUUAGAGGAGGUGAGUUAGGGUGUUAGGAUGUUAGAGGAGGUGAGUUAGGGUGUUAGGAUGUUAGAGGAGGUGAGUUAGGGUGUUAGGAUGUUAGAGGAGGUGAGUUAGGGUGUUAGGAUGUUAGUGGAGGUGAGUUAGGGUGUUAGGAUGCUAGAGGAGGUGAGUUAGGGUGUUAGGAUGCUAGUGGAGGUGAGUUAGGGUGUUAGGAUGCUAGUGGUGGUGAGUUAGGGUGUUAGGAUGCUAGAGGAGGUGAGUUAGGGUGUUAGGAUGUUAGAGGAGGUGAGUUAGGGUGUUAGGAUGCUAGAGGAGGUGAGUUAGGGUGUUAGGAUGCUAGUGGAGGUGAGUUAGGGUGUUAGGAUGUUAGAGGAGGUGAGUUAGGGUGUUAGGAUGUUAGAGGAGGUGAGUUAGGAUGUUAGGAUGUUAGAAGUGGUGAGUUAGGGUGUUAGAAUGUUAGUGGAGGUGAGUUAGGGUGUUAGGAUGUUAGAGGAGGUGAGUUAGGGUGUUAGGAUGUUAGAGGAGGUGAGUUAGGGUGUUAGGAUGUUAGAGGAGGUGAGUUAGGGUGUUAGGAUGUUAGCAGUGGUGAGUUAGGGUGUUCAGGUGGUAAUGGUGGUGAGUUAGGGUGUUAGGAUGUUAGAGGAGGUGAGUUAGGGUGUUAGGAUGUUAGAGGAGGUGAGUUAGGGUGUUAGGAUGUUAGAGGAGGUGAGUUAGGGUGUUAGGAUGUUAGUGGUGGUGAGUUAGGGUGUUCAGGUGGUAAUGGUGGUGAGUUAGGGUGUUAGGAUGUUAGUGGUGGUGAGUUAGGGUGUUCAGGUGGUAAUGGUGGUGAGUUAGGGUGUUCGGGAGCUAGCAGGGAUGAGUUAUGGUUGUUCACUUUGUACUUUGGGAUUGUGUGAUUCUCUCUCUCUCUCUAUCAUUUUUUGGAAUUUGUUUGGGUUGUGUCCUCACUAAGUGUGAAGGACGGGUGUGGUGGUCUAUCAGACUGUAAUGUGAGAAGUUUCCACUGCUGAUACUGUUGUUAGGUGUGGAGCUUUUGAGCACCGUGACCUCUGUCGUGCACGAUGCAGCAAUUUCCUGUUUAUCCACGAUCUCUGUCUGCAUCUGGCCUUUUCUCUAAACUCAUAGGGUGUGUGUGUGUGUGUGUGUGGGUGUGUGUGAAUGUGCAUGUGCUUCAUGGCUGGGUGGUAUUCUCUUUGUUGGCUCACCCAAGUGCCGCUUUCACUUUCAUUUUAUUUACUCUUUGAUUUAUUCAGAUUUAUAAUCUACUUCCAGUGAUGGUGAUUCAUUUUAACUAUUUUUUAUUUUGUUAUUUUAUAAUGAAGCCGUUUAUCUCACAGCCGUGUGAUCCCUACAGUUUCCAAGCGUACAUGAGUAAGGAUAUGUUUUAUGACACGUCAUGAGAACUGUCACAAUAGUCGAUGUUGAAAAUCGCUCUAGUCAGCAUUCACAAAGUUUCAUGAAAGGUUG